UUUCGCGCUGGAGAUGGCAUUCCUCCUCAUAACCGCUGGUCAGCCAGCUGAUGAUGCCUACGCGUUC
This 67-nucleotide non-coding RNA is filed under the name Burkholderia sp. Its description in RNAcentral is "Fluoride sequence". It matches the Rfam family "Fluoride riboswitch aptamer (crcB RNA motif)". Lineage: Bacteria; Pseudomonadati; Pseudomonadota; Betaproteobacteria; Burkholderiales; Burkholderiaceae. The record is from RNAcentral.